RNAcentral lists this ribosomal RNA (544 nucleotides) under Curvularia sp.UOC/PTS/RDNM-17. Its description in RNAcentral is "eukaryotic LSU rRNA". The stretch from base 181 to 334 matches the Rfam family "5.8S ribosomal RNA". The record is from RNAcentral. Lineage: Eukaryota; Fungi; Ascomycota; Dothideomycetes; Pleosporales; Pleosporaceae.
UGCGGAGGGAUCAUUACACAAUACAAUAUGAAGGCUGUCCGCAGCUGGAGUAUUUUAUUACCCUUGUCUUUUGCGCACUUGUUGUUUCCUGGGCGGGUUCGCUCGCCACCAGGACCACCAAAUAAACCUUUUUUUAUGCAGUUGCAAUCAGCGUCAGUACAAACAAUGUAAAUCAUUUACAACUUUCAACAACGGAUCUCUUGGUUCUGGCAUCGAUGAAGAACGCAGCGAAAUGCGAUACGUAGUGUGAAUUGCAGAAUUCAGUGAAUCAUCGAAUCUUUGAACGCACAUUGCGCCCUUUGGUAUUCCAAAGGGCAUGCCUGUUCGAGCGUCAUUUGUACCCUCAAGCUUUGCUUGGUGUUGGGCGUUUUUGUCUUUGGUCGCCCAAAGACUCGCCUUAAAGUGAUUGGCAGCCGGCCUUUCUGGUUUCGCAGCGCAGCACAUUUUUGCGCUUGCCAUCAGCAAAACGGCAAUCCAUCAAGCCUCCUUCUCACGUUUGACCUCGGAUCAGGUAGGGAUACCCGCUGAACUUGAGCAUAUCAAU